AACGAACGCUGGCGGCAUGCCUAACACAUGCAAGUCGAACGAGACCUUCGGGUCUAGUGGCGCACGGGUGCGUAACGCGUGGGAACCUGCCCUUAGGUUCGGAAUAACUCCCCGAAAGGGGUGCUAAUACCGGAUAAUGUCUUCGGACCAAAGAUUUAUCGCCUUUGGAUGGGCCCGCGUUGGAUUAGCUAGUUGGUAGGGUAAAAGCCUACCAAGGCGACGAUCCAUAGCUGGUCUGAGAGGAUGAUCAGCCACACUGGGACUGAGACACGGCCCAGACUCCUACGGGAAGCAGCAGGGGGGGAUAUUGGACAAUGGGCGGAAGCCUGAUCCAGCAAUGCCGCGUGAGUGAUGAAGGCCUUAGGGUUGGAAAGCCCUUUUACCCGGGAUGAUAAUGACAGGACCGGGAGAAUAAGCUCCGGCUAACUCCGUG
RNAcentral lists this ribosomal RNA (433 nucleotides) under uncultured bacterium. RNAcentral describes it as "partial 16S ribosomal RNA". It matches the Rfam family "Bacterial small subunit ribosomal RNA", at positions 29 to 507 of the family's 1533-position model. The record is from RNAcentral.